RNAcentral lists this ribosomal RNA (448 nucleotides) under uncultured bacterium. RNAcentral's name for it is "SSU rRNA". It matches the Rfam family "Bacterial small subunit ribosomal RNA", at positions 26 to 518 of the family's 1533-position model. The record is from RNAcentral.
AGAACGAACGCUGGCGGCAGGCCUCAAACAUGCAAGUCUAGGGGGUGUAGCAAUACAUCACCGGCGGACGGGUGCGUAACGCGUGGGAAUAUACCUAUUGGUUCGGAACAACUGAGGGAAACUUCAGCUAAUACCGAAUGUGCCCGUAAGGGGAAAGAUUUAUCGCCAAUAGAUUAGCCCGCGUAGGAUUAGCUAGUUGGUGGGGUAAUGGCCCACCAAGGCUCCGAUCCUUAGCUGUUCUGAGAGGAAGAUCAGCCACACUGGGACUGAGACACGGCCCAGACUCCUACGGGAGGCAGCAGUUGGGAAUCUUGGACAAUGGGGGAAACCCUGAUCCAGCCAUGCCGCGUGAGUGAUGAAGGCCUUCGGGUUGUAAAACUCUUUCGACGGGGACGAUAAUGACGGUACCCGUAGAAGAAGCUCCGGCUAACUUCGUGCCAGCAGCCGC